Molecule: RNA transcript, 4633 nt
Organism: Loxodonta africana (African savanna elephant)
Lineage: Eukaryota; Metazoa; Chordata; Mammalia; Proboscidea; Elephantidae
Gene: COMMD2
Gene name: COMM domain containing 2
Exons: 7
Source: RefSeq, a predicted model, not a curated record
UAGCGAGGGGCGGGGCCGGCGCUGCGGGGUGAAAUCCGCACCCCGCGAAGAUGCUGCUGGACCUGUCCGAGGAGCAUAAGGAGCACCUGGCCUUCCUGCCGCGAGUGGACAACGCGGUGGUCGCCGAGUUUGGGCGGAUUGCGGUGGAGUUUCUGCGGCGGGGUGCGAACCCCAAGAUCUACGAAGGCGCCGCCAGAAAACUCAGUGUGAGUAGUGACACCGUGCAGCGUGGUGUGGAAGGGUUAACAUACCUCCUCACUGAGAGCUCCAAGCUCAUGAUUUCUGAACUGGAUUUCCAAGACUCUGUUUUUGUUCUGGGAUUCUCAGAAGAAUUGAACAGACUACUUCUUCAGCUCUAUCUGGACAACAGAAAGGAGAUCAGAACUAUUCUGAGUGAAUUGGCACCAGACCUUCCCAGUUACCACAGCCUUGAGUGGAGGCUAGAUGUACAGCUUGCAAGCAGAAGCCUCAGACAGCAGAUUAAACCAGCAGUGACAAUAAAGCUGCACCUUAAUCAGAACGGAGAUCACACCACGCAGGUCCUGCAGACAGACCCCGCUACCCUGCUUCACUUGGUCCGGCAGCUGGAACAAGCCCUGGAGGAGAUGAAGACAAGCCACUGCAGGAGAGUUGUCCGCAACAUCAAAUAGGACCAGUUUGAAGGGUUUCAUCCUCUUGAAUCAUUGAGAGGAGAGAGACUGCCAGGGAACGGAGUCCAGUGGGAGACAAGCACACUUGACGUUGCAGCCCAUGGUGUCCCUUGCAGCUCCUCUCUGCCCAGGAACCCAAAGGACUGAAGUAUGCUUAUGGGCAUGAGUCCAUAAGAUUCUACAUACCAGUAUGGGGAAAUAGAGGAAAAGUGAUUUUUUUUCCUUAAUAGGCUCAAAGUUAAAGAAAUAUCGGAAGUACGAGUAGCUGUAUUGAUGUAUCCUGAAACUUGGCUUUUACUCAGGGUUUUUGCCAUCCUAAACGCAAGCAACUUUUUAUAAGAUUAAUUAUUUUUUUAUAAUUAUAGCAAAAAUUGCAUUUAUUAUAAUUAGAAAUAUUACUAAUUAUACAGCCAUCAGAGUAACAGGCCAUGUUCUGUUUGUUAUGCAUGGAACAGUCUGGCCAGCAACCAGUUAAAAAGAGAAGCAAAACAGAAGAGAGGAUUUUUGCCCUUUCUCUGAAGCCCUGGUAGCACAGUGGUUAAGAGCUUGGCUGCUAACCAAAAGGUCGGCAGUUUGAAUCCACCAGCCACCCCUUGGAAGCCCUAUGGGGCUGUUCUACUCUGUCCUAUAGGGUCACUAUGAGUUGGAAUUGACUCGAUGGCAAUGGGUUUUUUUUUUUCUUUUUUUAACCAACCAUAUGAGAUCUUUUAAAUCUUCUAAUCUUAAUGCUUUUUCUCUUUUACCCUGAGCUAUAUAAUUCAUCCACUUAGGUAUUGCAUUUUGUUAAUGGGAAAAACAAAGCAAAAUUUAAAACCUCUUGUAACUCUUUUUUACAUGGUGCAGACUCAGUUUUGUUAAGCAUUCAUUAAGAGCUGCGAGUGAUCUGUGUAGUAUGUCAGGCAAAGGAUAAAUUCCAAAUCUUCUCAGAGUUCAGAACGCUCUCAGGCCAUUCUGUCCCCUGGUGUAGUUUAACCCAUAAGCUCAUUAGGCUGCAGAAAGGGAUCUGCUGAGGAGACUGUGCUGAGAAGGGGAGUUGUCUGCUCUAUUGUAUGUUGGAACUACUUUUCCUUGAAACUCCACCUUCUGGAAGGCAAAACUCCGAUAGGAUGCAGUGGCUGGCACUGUAGAAACGUGCAGAGGAAAGGCUAGAUCACUACAGAGGACUGUAGAAUACUCGGACACGGCCAGGAUGGCAGAAAUUAUUCUUACCCCUUGUCCGUUGAAGUGGGGUUCCCUGAGGUAACCGGAGGUGUGAUGGGAAAAGCAAAUUGAGGUCUCUCUUACCUGCAUUCCAGUGUUGUGAUUGUCCUAAGCCCAAUGAGAAGCGGAUGCCUGUGGUUUUGAAGGAAUGUGCUUAGUUCACAGAACGAAAAGGCUUCUCGGUUAGCUCAAAGACUAAAAACACAGAGAUUGAAAUCCAGAGAAUGAGGAAAAGAAAAUCCAGGGAAGUCUUUGAGUUUCAUCAGGGCAAGUGUAGAUGGUUAGGAUAUGAUUUCUUGGUAUAGCCUGAAACCCGUAUGCUUUUAUCCCAAAUAAACACAAAGUUCUUACAAAGGUCCAGCAAGUUUAAAUGCUGCAGUAUAAGGAAUUGCUUCAUUUGCAGCUGAGACUCUUGCACGAUUCAUAGAAUGGAGAAGAGAAAACCAAAAAAGACUACAGAUGGUAUUUUUUCAGUACCUGAAAAAAAAAAUGAGCAAGUCACCAUAUACUUUUCAAAAAGGCCAAAGUGAUUUGUCUUAAAGUAUACGAAGUAUAAUUCAAAGUUCUUUGUGUUUUCAGUUCAAGUCCCCAAGGAUAAAAUUAUUGUGUACUCUUUUCUAUGCUUUUUUCUUCUACCCUUUGUCUUUUUCCCAACAUAAAUACCAAACUCCAUGCCUUUCAUGAGCCCUUGGAACAAUUUCUUUUUAUGCCAGACCUCUCUUCAAGACUCCUCUCCCCCUUUUAAAAGAUUAUUUUUUUUAAUUGACAUAUAAUCCACGUAACAAAAUCACCCUUUCAAAGUGUACAACUCAGUGGUUUUUAAUAGGUUCCCAGAGCUGUGCAGCCAUCACCACUAUAUAAUUCCAGAACCUUUUUAUUACCCCAAAAAGAAUCCCUGUACCCACCCAUGAGCAGUCGUUCCUAAUUCCCCCCUCCCCAAUGCCCCUGACAGCCAUUAAUCUGCUUUCCGUGUCUGUAGAUUGGCCUGUUCUGGACAUUUCCUAGAAAUGGAAUCUUGUAUGGCCUUCCAUGUCUAGCUUCUUUCACUCAGCAUAAUGUUUGCCAGGUUCGUCCAUGUUGUAGCAUGUCUGUCAGUCCUUCAUUUUUUUAUGACUGAGUCAUAUCCCACUGUAUGGAUACUCUCUUUUUACAGUAUUUGAUUGAGUCUUAUUCCUGGUCUUACCUGGAAUUAAAUCGUUACAUUUUAUUUUACAAUGUUCAUGGGAGAACCUCUAGCAGACUUAGUAGUGUGUUUUCUACAUGAUUGUUGUUUAGAAUUUCUUCCCAGAUACAAGUUAGAAAAGUCUGAAAGAAAUUUCUUCCCAGCCAGUAAUUAGUAGAAUUAUUCUCCAGUGGUUAGAUGUUUUUAUUUUUGGCCUUAUGCAAAAAUUAUACCAGGUAGGGAGCCAAUCAGAUAAGCUGUUCAAGGAACUCAUAGCUGAAACCAGCUCCAAAGAAAAGUGGAUCAGUAUUAUAUGCUUUUUUAUUUAAACCCUGAGAACUUCCCACUGAGUUGAGGGCAUUUGUCAGAUUUAGGGAAGAUUUGGAUUGGGCAAAUUUGCUGCAAAAUACCUCUUUAAAGUGUUGAAAAGCAAAGAUGUCAGUUUGAGGACUAAGGUGCACCUGAUCCAAGCCGUGAUACUUUGGGUCACCUCAUACGCAUGGGAAAGCUGGACACUAAAUAAGGAAAACCGAAGAAGAAUUGAUGCCUUUGAAUUAUGGGUUGGAGAAGAAUAUUGAAUAUACCAUGGACUGCCAGAAGAAUGAACAAAUCCAUCUUGGAAGAAGUACAGUGGAGUGUUCCUUGGAAGCGAGGAUGGCAAGACUUUGUCUCACAUACUUUGGACAUGUUACGCGAAGGGACCAGUCCCUGGAGAAGGACGUCAUGCUUGGUAAGAUAGAGGUUCAGCAAAAAAGAGGAAAACCCUCAACGAGAUGGAUUGACACAGUGGCAGCAACAAUAGGCUCAAACAUAGCAACAAUUGUGAGGAUAGCACCGGACGGGACAGUGUUUUGUUCUGUUGGACAUAGGGUCAUUAUGAGUUGGAACCUACUCAACGGCACCUGACAACAAUAACGACAUAAAAAAAACUAACACGUGAGGAACGUGCUUAGUUCAGUCAAGUAUAUGAGACCAAAUGGGUGACAUCUGCCCAAAAGCAAAGACUAGAAGGCAGGAAGUGACAGGAUAACUGACAAAUGGAUGUGGAGAACCCAAGGUGGAAAGAGAAAGGGGAAGAGUGUUGACAUAUUGCAGGGAUUACAACCAAUGUCAGAAAACAAUUUGUGUAUAAAUUUUUUAAUAAAAAAUCUGCACUGUAAGCUUUCACCUAAGAUACAAUAAAAUUAAAAAUAAUAAUAGUCUACUUCUCUCCAUUCACAUUACCCCCAUGCUACUUGGUUCACCAUUAUCCCCUGCCUGGUCUACUGUGUCUGCAUCUAGUUCACUGGUCUCCCUGACUCCCUCUUAUUAAGGACUCUACUGUCCCCCCUGCCGCCCCACCUGACACACACGCAGCCAUGCAUUCCCUACAUAGCAGCCAGAAUUAUCUUCCAGAAAGAGAAAUCGCGUCCUUCAUGUGCUUAAAGUCUUCUGUAGAUUUGCAGUGCUUUUGGGAUAAAGUGCAGACUUCUUAACAUUGCUUAUAAAACCCUUCCUAAUUUAGUUCCUGCCUUUAUCUUCAGCCUUUUCUCUCCAGCGUUCUCAUGUUCUUUCAGUUCCCUUGCUUCUUCAUUGAACUUGAUGCUUCCAUUGUCUGGGCCCUUUUCUCCCCAUCAUCUGC